AUACGUAGGUGGCAAGCGUUAUCCGGAUUUACUGGGUGUAAAGGGCGCGUAGGCGGGGGUGCAAGUCAGAUGUGAAAUCUAUGGGCUUAACUCAUAAACUGCAUUUGAAACUGUAUCUCUUGAGUGCUGGAGAGGUAGACGGAAUUCCUUGUGUAGCGGUGAAAUGCGUAGAUAUAAGGAAGAACACCAGUGGCGAAGGCGGUCUACUGGACAGUAACUGACGCUGAGGCGCGAAAGCGUGGGGAGCAAACAGGAUUAGAUACCCUGGUAGUCCACGCUGUAAACGAUGAAUACUAGGUGUGGGGGGACUGACCCCCUCCGUGCCGCAGUUAACACAAUAAGUAUUCCACCUGGGGAGUACGGCCGCAAGGUUGAAACUCAAAUGAAUUGACGGGG
This 396-nucleotide ribosomal RNA is filed under the name uncultured bacterium. Its description in RNAcentral is "partial 16S ribosomal RNA". It matches the Rfam family "Bacterial small subunit ribosomal RNA", at positions 523 to 918 of the family's 1533-position model. The record is from RNAcentral.